UUAAGCGACUAAGCGUACACGGUGGAUGCCCUGGCAGUCAGAGGCGAUGAAGGACGUGCUAAUCUGCGAAAAGCGCCGGCGAGGUGAUAUGAACCCUUGACCCGGCGAUGUCCGAAUGGGGAAACCCAGUGCAAUCCGUUGCACUAUCGUUAACUGAAUACAUAGGUUAACGAGGCGAACCGGGGGAACUGAAACAUCUAAGUACCCCGAGGAAAAGAAAUCAACCGAGAUUCCCCCAGUAGCGGCGAGCGAACGGGGAGCAGCCCGGAGUCUGAAUCAGCUUGUGUGUUAGUGGAACGGUCUGGAAAGUCCGACGGUACAGGGUGAUAGUCCCGUACACGAAAAUGCACAGGUUGUGAACUCGAAGAGUAGGGCGGGACACGUGGUAUCCUGUCUGAAUAUGGGGGGACCAUCCUCCAAGGCUAAAUACUCCUGACUGACCGAUAGUGAACCAGUACCGUGAGGGAAAGGCGAAAAGAACCCCGGCGAGGGGAGUGAAAAAGAACCUGAAACCGUGUACGUACAAGCAGUGGGAGCCUCUUUAUGGGGUGACUGCGUACCUUUUGUAUAAUGGGUCAGCGACUUAUAUUCUGUAGCAAGGUUAACCGUAUAGGGGAGCCGAAGGGAAACCGAGUCUUAACUGGGCGUUAAGUUGCAGGGUAUAGACCCGAAACCCGGUGAUCUAGCCAUGGGCAGGUUGAAGGUUGGGUAACACUAACUGGAGGACCGAACCGACUAAUGUUGAAAAAUUAGCGGAUGACCUGUGGCUGGGGGUGAAAGGCCAAUCAAACCGGGAGAUAGCUGGUUCUCCCCGAAAGCUAUUUAGGUAGCGCCUCGUGAAUUCAUCUUCGGGGGUAGAGCACUGUUUCGGCUAGGGGGCCAUCCCGGCUUACCAACCCGAUGCAAACUACGAAUACCGAAGAAUGUUAUCACGGGAGACACACGGCGGGUGCUAACGUCCGUCGUGAAGAGGGAAACAACCCAGACCGCCAGCUAAGGUCCCAAAGUCAUGGUUAAGUGGGAAACGAUGUGGGAAGGCACAGACAGCCAGGAUGUUGGCUUAGAAGCAGCCAUCAUUUAAAGAAAGCGUAAUAGCUCACUGGUCGAGUCGGCCUGCGCGGAAGAUGUAACGGGGCUAAACCAUGCACCGAAGCUGCGGCAGCGACACUAUGUGUUGUUGGGUAGGGGAGCGUUCUGUAAGCCGUUGAAGGUGUGCUGUGAGGCAUGCUGGAGGUAUCAGAAGUGCGAAUGCUGACAUAAGUAACGAUAAAGCGGGUGAAAAGCCCGCUCGCCGGAAGACCAAGGGUUCCUGUCCAACGUUAAUCGGGGCAGGGUGAGUCGACCCCUAAGGCGAGGCCGAAAGGCGUAGUCGAUGGGAAACAGGUUAAUAUUCCUGUACUUGGUGUUACUGCGAAGGGGGGACGGAGAAGGCUAUGUCAGCCGGGCGACGGUUGUCCCGGUUUAAGCAUGUAGGCGGAGGUUCCAGGUAAAUCCGGUACCUUUUAACGCUGAGGUGUGAUGACGAGGCACUACGGUGCUGAAGUGAUAAAUGCCCUGCUUCCAGGAAAAGCCUCUAAGCAUCAGGUAACACGAAAUCGUACCCCAAACCGACACAGGUGGUCAGGUAGAGAAUACCAAGGCGCUUGAGAGAACUCGGGUGAAGGAACUAGGCAAAAUGGUGCCGUAACUUCGGGAGAAGGCACGCUGAUGUGUAGGUGAAGCCCCUGCGGGCGGAGCUGAAAUCAGUCGAAGAUACCAGCUGGCUGCAACUGUUUAUUAAAAACACAGCACUGUGCAAACACGAAAGUGGACGUAUACGGUGUGACGCCUGCCCGGUGCCGGAAGGUUAAUUGAUGGGGUUAGCGGCAACGCGAAGCUCUUGAUCGAAGCCCCGGUAAACGGCGGCCGUAACUAUAACGGUCCUAAGGUAGCGAAAUUCCUUGUCGGGUAAGUUCCGACCUGCACGAAUGGCGUAAUGAUGGCCAGGCUGUCUCCACCCGAGACUCAGUGAAAUUGAACUCGCUGUGAAGAUGCAGUGUACCCGCGGCAAGACGGAAAGACCCCGUGAACCUUUACUAUAGCUUGACACUGAACACUGGUCCUUGAUGUGUAGGAUAGGUGGGAGGCUUUGAAGCGUGGACGCCAGUCUGCGUGGAGCCAACCUUGAAAUACCACCCUUUAAUGGCUGGUGUUCUAACGUGGACCCGUUACCCGGGUUGCGGACAGUGUCUGGUGGGUAGUUUGACUGGGGCGGUCUCCUCCCAAAGAGUAACGGAGGAGCACGAAGGUUGGCUAAUCCUGGUCGGACAUCAGGAGGUUAGUGCAAUGGCAUAAGCCAGCUUGACUGCGAGCGUGACGGCGCGAGCAGGUGCGAAAGCAGGUCAUAGUGAUCCGGUGGUUCUGAAUGGAAGGGCCAUCGCUCAACGGAUAAAAGGUACUCCGGGGAUAACAGGCUGAUACCGCCCAAGAGUUCAUAUCGACGGCGGUGUUUGGCACCUCGAUGUCGGCUCAUCACAUCCUGGGGCUGAAGUAGGUCCCAAGGGUAUGGCUGUUCGCCAUUUAAAGUGGUACGCGAGCUGGGUUUAGAACGUCGUGAGACAGUUCGGUCCCUAUCUGCCGUGGGCGCUGGAGAAUUGAGGGGGGCUGCUCCUAGUACGAGAGGACCGGAGUGGACGCAUCACUGGUGUUCGGGUUGUCAUGCCAAUGGCACUGCCCGGUAGCUAAAUGCGGAAGAGAUAAGUGCUGAAAGCAUCUAAGCACGAAACUUGCCCCGAGAUGAGUUCUCCCUGAGACCUUGAGUCUCCUGAAGGAACGUUAAAGACGAUGACGUUGAUAGGUCGGGUGUGUAAGCGCAGCGAUGCGUUGAGCUAACCGAUACUAAUGAACCGUGAGGCUUAACCUU
Molecule: ribosomal RNA, 2902 nt
Filed under: Enterobacter cloacae
Lineage: Bacteria; Pseudomonadati; Pseudomonadota; Gammaproteobacteria; Enterobacterales; Enterobacteriaceae
Description: bacterial LSU rRNA
Rfam family: Bacterial large subunit ribosomal RNA
Source: RNAcentral